RNAcentral lists this ribosomal RNA (267 nucleotides) under uncultured bacterium. RNAcentral describes it as "partial 16S ribosomal RNA". It matches the Rfam family "Bacterial small subunit ribosomal RNA", at positions 521 to 787 of the family's 1533-position model. The record is from RNAcentral.
UAAUACAGAGGCCUCAAGCGUUAGGCGGAAUCACUGGGCUUAAAGCGUGUGUAGGCGGACUUCUAAGUACCUUGUGAAAUCCCACGGCUUAACUGUGGAACUGCUUGGUAUACUGGUUGUCUUGAGCCACUUAGGGGUUACCGGAACAAAUGGUGGAGCGGUGAAAUGCGUAGAUAUCAUUUGGAACGCCAAUGGUGAAAACAGGUAACUGGGAGUGUGCUGACGCUGAGACACGAAAGCCAGGGGAGCGAACGGGAUUAGAUACCC